GGGCACUAUUAAGGUGGCUGUGCAAAGCCUGUGAGAUUUGGAAUCUAAUAUUGCCUUUUCUGCAUUACCAAACCAAAGCCCAGGCUAGAGUACAUUAUAGAGCAUCCUAGAGCUUUCUACCUAGCCUACUUUCCACUGAAGUCAGCUAGUAUAGUGGCAGAGCAUAGGCUUCUUAGCCAAAGAAUCAUCUGAGUUCUUACCCUAUCUUGUCAUUUAAGUUGGGGUGAUCCUGGAUAAUUCUCACCUAAUUUCUCUGAAUUCUGAUUCUCUCAUCAAUAAAAUGAGGAUACAGAAGACUUCUGGGUUUGUUGUAAGAAUUAGUGAUAAUACAUGCAAAAUGCAGUGGGGAUGGAUAGUUCUGUCUAGUUCCUUCCUGGCAUAGUUUAAGUUUGAGCACAAGGCAUCGAUAUGAUAUAAAUCAGGCUGAAAUUUCAGAAGUGAUCAUUUAUUAAUUUUGGAAUUUUAGAAUUGGGUGCCAUAGCAUGCAUUAAAAAUCCAUCAUUACCUUAUGAGGAGUCUAGAGAGAUUGACUUUUUUGUCAGAGCUUUUCAUCUGUCAGUUUUAAACAGGAGGAACAUAAAAAUUAUGCUACUUGUUAGACCGGAAGAAAAUUAUUGCACGAAAACUUGGAAAGACACUGAUAAUCAAUUGUCAGGUUUACAUUCCAUUGUAAAUCUUUUAAAGAUAGAUUGGUCUGGCUCUGUGAGAAAAUAUAGCCAUUAUUAAAUGAGGUUAUUAUUUCCUAUUUUGUUUUAUGUAGAUAGCAGUGUCAAUUUGUACUUCCUUAGGAAAAAUAAUAAAUGAUUUCAUGACUUUUGGUGAUUACAUGUUUGCUCAGUAAAUACCUUUGUGCUCCUGAUGGGGAGUGGGUGACCCAUGUAGACCACAGAGCAUCAGGCAAUCAGAGGAUGUGAAGGUAACUAAUGAGCUGAUCACCUCAAAUUUUUAGAAACAUUUACUAUUCAUUAUUCAGAAUUUCAGAGUGUUAUUUAGUGGUAGAAGAGUAAGAAUUGUAAACUUGACUUUGAGUGAGGGGCCUUCCUUUAACAAUAUUAAUAAAAGAAAAAAUUUUUGCCCGUCAGUAGAGAUUAUUUUCUGAAGGCAUACAGAUGUC
This 1114-nucleotide long non-coding RNA is filed under the name Marmota monax (woodchuck). Lineage: Eukaryota; Metazoa; Chordata; Mammalia; Rodentia; Sciuridae. The record is from RNAcentral.